ACAAAUCCCCUGUAACACCCUCCAACCCUAAAUCCAUCAUUUUUACCGACAAUCAAGCUUCAAUAUCUCCCAAAAUCACCCCUAGAACAACCCCGUUCCCCUCAUCCCAGAAACCCAUUUAGUUUUUCUCAAAUAUCCCCAAAACCUCAUAAAUCAGUCCGCUUCGAGUCUGAAGUUGAAGAAGAAGAAAUUCGCCAAUUUGUCAGCUACCUUGAGCGAUAGGGAUCGAAACGAGCAUUGGCCAUGUGUUUUCGUCGAGAACACCUGGUUAAUAUUUGUUUCAACUCGAAUCGAAGCCGCAAUUCAUUCAAGUCAGACAUUUGCUUUCUUUUAGGUAUUUCACUUCGUCUCUGUUCGUCGACAUGUUUCCGUUUCUGUUUAUUUCGUCGCUUCGUUCUUCUCUGUUUCUUCGUCACCUUCUGUCACUGCCAAUCUUCCCAUAUUUUCUUCUUGUUUGUUUUGUUGUUGCUUGGUUCUUCUAGCUAAAUAUCGUAACGUCGAGUUGAUUUCUGUCCAAUUGAUUCACAUCUGUUGAUUGCUGAAGUAUCCAGAUUUAUUUUGAGAUGACUUCAAAUGGUUUUUGGUGCAAUUGAGGUAGUCGAGUUAAGUUUCUGUUUCCUGGGAAUUUCAUAGGGUUUAUGGCCAUUUUCGAAGUCUACAUGGUUAAUUUGGUGUUGCUUUGAGCGGAUCUAUGAGUUUUGGUUGAUUUAAACAUCUCUGGGCUUUCGAUUCUGCUUCCUGGGCUGUUGUUGAUCUUUGCAAUUUGCUGCUGAUCCAUUUCUUUUCAUUUUUCCUUCAUUCAGGUACCUCUUCAGCUUGUUUUGAUGUAGUCUCACCAAAGAAAAUAAAAAAUGAAGAUGUCACUUGAUGUUUGUUGAAGUUUGGAUAUAUUAGUUCUUCUAUCUGCAAUUAGUUUAGAAUUUCAUAUUAUUUACAGCUCUUUACUUGAGUUUAGCUGUAGCAGAAUGUGGUUCAAAAUGAGUUUUUGGAUUAUUGUUUAUUCUAUUCUAUUGAUAGACAAAUCAUUAGGACUGUUUGUUAGUAUAAUGUUAGAUUACAGAUAGUAGUAUAUUGUAGAGUCGAAACAGUGGUGUUUACCAACACGUUUUAUUUUAUUUCGUUGUUGCAAUUGCUUGUCUUCACCUAUUAUUUUGAUAACUCUCAUUAGUUGUUUGUGUUGUUAAUUAAAUUGGAAUUGAUAAGUCAUUUGAUAUUGUUAAUUGCUAGCAAGAAGUGUGUUGAGAUGAAGGAGAUUACAUGACUAUCUACAGUGUAUAUACUGUGUAUAUACAGUGAUAUUUAUUAUAUCAUCUGGUAUACAAUGUAUGGGCUGUGAUGAUUAUUUGUUGUUGGGGAAAAUGUAUGUGCCGAGCCCAAUGUAUGUCUGAGCCCCAUUUCAUUUAAGUCAUUGGGUCGUCUGACCCGACUGACCCGACCCAUAUGUACAUGUAUAUAUUGGUGGUCCUCAGAUAUUUUGGACGACCGGACUUCAUUUUCAUUUCUGUUCUCUGUUUAAUAAAAUCUCUCUGGGUUCCAGAGUCUUCUCAAACGCUCCUCUUUCUCUCUAGUUUCUCUCUCUACAUUCUUCAUGAUUUUUUGAUUUAAUCUCGAUGUUAACAAAGUGUUACAGGUUUGAGCGGUUAAUUUGUUUCUUGUCAAGUAAAAGUUGAACAACAUUCUUCAUGAUUUUUCGGUUUAAUUUCGAUGUUAUCAUGGUAUCAGAGCCUAGACGACGAUCCGACUAUGUUUAUCUGUACUUCGUUGU
This 1765-nucleotide long non-coding RNA is filed under the name Nicotiana benthamiana. RNAcentral's name for it is "long non-coding RNA (NBEN_LNC005261)". Lineage: Eukaryota; Viridiplantae; Streptophyta; Magnoliopsida; Solanales; Solanaceae. The record is from RNAcentral.